GGAUUUGAGAGGAAGCUUUCAGGUGUCGUUGAGGGGAUUCUAGGGUUCACAAAAUCGCACCAAAAUCUGCUCCCGUCUCUGUGGCUACUUCUCACCCUCUUCUAAUCCGAACGGUUUCACAAGUUCCUUCUCUAUCGUGAUGGGAGAUUUGGUCGAUGUAGCGGAGGCAUCUCAAUGCCCACCUGAGUUAAUUGAGAUACAUAUAAAGAGAUUGCGUUCUGAAACAUACACCUUACGUGUAGACAGAAGUAUCUCUAUCGUGGAACUGAAGGAGCGAAUUGCUGACUUAUCUGGGGUUAUUUCUGGACUGCAGCACUUGCUAUUCCGUGGAAGAGUUCUGAAUAAUGAUCACCAAUUAU
Long non-coding RNA from Eutrema salsugineum, 359 nucleotides. RefSeq lists it as uncharacterized. Lineage: Eukaryota; Viridiplantae; Streptophyta; Magnoliopsida; Brassicales; Brassicaceae. The transcript has 3 exons. The record is from RefSeq and is a predicted model, not a curated record.